GUUUAGAAACGUGCGUGCUUAUCGCAAUUUCAUUAAAAUGUUUAAUUUCAUUAAAUGCAACGUUUUGAAAUAACGAUAUUGACAAUUUUUUGGUGUUUUUUGUAAUUUGUAGUAAAAUCGCCAUCGCUUCGUGGUCCGCCAUUUUGUAUAGCUGAAAGAAUGGUUUUCGUAAGGUCUUCUGGUCAGCGGCGGCCGCCAGCGAUGCAGCGCCGCGCUGGCGCUGCAUGCGGCGCUGCAUCGCUCAACAACUAGGCAGUGCAGCAGCAACGCUGCACCUAAACCACCCAGCCACGAACACUGGACUCGAAGACGUUCAUAAAUCACAAUUCAUCCAGAGGAGCUCGUCCCUCUGCAGGCUACCGCGAUCUCGCGGAAUCUUAUUGCGGCAGCCUACAGAGCACGCUGCGUCGCCAACCGAUGACUUCAAUUAAUAUUAUUACAAUUCAUCAAGAGGAGCUCGUCCCUCUGCAGGCUACCGCGAUCUCGCGGAAUCUUAUUGCGGCAGCCUACAGAGCACGCUGCGUCGCCAACCGAUGACUUCAAUUAAUAUUAUUAAAAUUCAUCAAGAGGAGCUCGUCCCUCUGCAGGCUACCGCGAUCUCGCGGAAUCUUAUUGCGGCAGCCUACAGAGCACGCUGCGUCGCCAACCGAUGACUUCAAUUAAUAUUAUUAAGUAACAAAAACCAAAAAUUUUAUAGCCACAAAAACCGUAAGCUUUAAUCAAGUGUCUGUUAGAUUAAGUUAGAGUAGGUAUAUAACAAGCCAAUUUAUUUGAUUACAAAAUCUAUCGCCGACAAGCAACCCAUAAUUUAGUAAAGAAAAUAUCUGUUUAUUAUUGCAGAGGUGAUAUACCAAGUCUACAGUUAAGACGUCGUUUCCCCCUAUAGGUUCAUAGUUCGUCACCUAGCCACGCUGUUAAUUUUAAUUUUUAAUACAUGUCAUAAAGACAUACAUGUCCUAGAAUAGAACGUAGGUAAGCCCGGGCCUCGGCUCCUGUUGUCACAUAAUGUGCAUGCGCAAAGAUGAGAUACCGAUUCUACAUUUAAUUCGUCGUUUCCCGCUACAAAGCUUCUGUCUGUGUAUAGUGCACUGAUCAAACCGCAGCCACGCUAAGUAUAUUUUAUAAGAUGUUUACAUAGUGCUACGUUGUUUUGUAAUAGUUUUUUUUAAUACUUUAAAACAAAAUGUACGUAACCUUAACGUACGUUAGUUAAGCCACCUUUUUUAGUUUAUAAUUGAAUAAAAAUGUUAAAAAAAAUAAAAAAAAAAUUAAAAAAAUAUAAAAAAAUGUAAAAAAAACAUUGUCGUAGGUAGUGGGGUUUUUAUUCGAUUCAAUAGCGUCACAAGGCGUGAACGACAUAUACUUUUAAAAUUUUUAACAUAAAAAUAGAGAAAUUUUUGCGCGACAUUAUUUUUAUGUUAAAAAUUGAAAAAUAUUUGUCGUUUAUCGCGUUAUUUUCUUUAAUUAAGAAUGAAUUUUAGCCCCAAAUUUAAUUCUCACCCCAUUAGGUAAAUAGGUUUUUUACUAAAAGGUAAAAAUUAAGUAUAUUUUAUAAGAGUUUAUUAAGAUUAGAUUAUAAUUAAACAUUUUUCAUAAAUAAAAAAUGUAAAAAAAUAAAAAAAAAUGUCAUAGGUAAAUAGUUUUAGUAUUAGUUUGUAAUUUUAUAACUUUUGCUUUUCAUCAAACAUAAAUUUGCAGAGGUUAGACAACAGUUCCACAGUUGAUACGUCGUAUCUCAUUUCAAAUUUCAUAUUCCGUCAAUUAUAGUGAUCUGUUGCCUAGCCACGAAGUAUAUUUCAUAUGUUUUUACGUAACUUCCUUUUUUAGUUUAUGAAUGAAUUUAAAAAAAAAAAUCAUAGUUACCUGUAGGUAGGUACUUAAUAGAUUUUUUAUUGCUUUGUAAUUUCUUUCAACUUUUGAACAUUAAACUUUUCAGCAUCA
Maniola jurtina (meadow brown) is the source of this 1941-nucleotide long non-coding RNA. RefSeq lists it as uncharacterized. The record is from RefSeq and is a predicted model, not a curated record. The transcript has 6 exons. NCBI's taxonomy places the organism in Eukaryota, Metazoa, Arthropoda, Insecta, Lepidoptera, Nymphalidae.